UCGAACGCUUCUUUUUCCNCCGGAGCUUGCUCCACCGGAAAAAGAGGAGUGGCGAACGGGUGAGUAACACGUGGGUAACCUGCCCAUCAGAAGGGGAUAACACUUGGAAACAGGUGCUAAUACCGUAUAACAAUCGAAACCGCAUGGUUUUGAUUUGAAAGGCGCUUUCGGGUGUCGCUGAUGGAUGGACCCGCGGUGCAUUAGCUAGUUGGUGAGGUAACGGCUCACCAAGGCGACGAUGCAUAGCCGACCUGAGAGGGUGAUCGGCCACAUUGGGACUGAGACACGGCCCAAACUCCUACGGGAGGCAGCAGUAGGGAAUCUUCGGCAAUGGACGAAAGUCUGACCGAGCAACGCCGCGUGAGUGAAGAAGGUUUUCGGAUCGUAAAACUCUGUUGUUAGAGAAGAACAAGGAUGAGAGUAACUGUUCAUCCCUUGACGGUAUCUAACCAGAAAGCCACGGCUAACUACGUGCC
Molecule: ribosomal RNA, 476 nt
Filed under: Enterococcus hirae
Lineage: Bacteria; Bacillati; Bacillota; Bacilli; Lactobacillales; Enterococcaceae
Description: bacterial SSU rRNA
Rfam family: Bacterial small subunit ribosomal RNA
Source: RNAcentral